RNAcentral lists this long non-coding RNA (839 nucleotides) under Ursus thibetanus thibetanus. Its description in RNAcentral is "lncRNA (ENSUTTG00000007745.1)". Lineage: Eukaryota; Metazoa; Chordata; Mammalia; Carnivora; Ursidae. The record is from RNAcentral.
GCCGGGAGGGGGAGGCCAGGAAGGGGGUCGGGCGGGAGGGGAGGAGACCUCGGAGCAGCCAAUCGGCGCUCAGCCCAUCAGCUGACCGCUUUUGCUUACACCAGGUGCACGCCGGCUGCGGGGAGCACAAAGCGGGGCGCAUCGAGGGCGCCGGCAGCGAGCCGGGGAGCUAGGCGAGGCCCGUGCGCCAGCGGCCGCAGCGCCCUCCGAUUGGGGAGAGGGGCUGGUGGUGUUAGCCAGGCGGCGGAAUCCGCGCGGUGGCAUCCCUAGUUGCCCCGGGUGCCUUUCUCGGGACCUGGCCGCUCUCUGCCUCGCCCUCUGCGCCCCACUUCUCCAGUCCUCCUUCCCAAUCCUGCCUGCCUCUGCCCCGACCCCGGAGAGUCGGAUUGAGCCCAGGCCCGCGCAGCAGCUGUUGCUCGUGUCGUUGCCUCUCCUCCUGUCUUGGUGCUCUGCUGGGAACCCCCCAAGGAGCCGCUGCGCGCUGCGGGCUGGGAGGGAGGCGCCGUUCGGCCGGUCGUCCUCCUCCUGCCGCCGCCGCGGGUCCGUGCGCACCCCACACCCCCGCCGGCCGGGCCUCGGGGCACAUCUCCAGACUUUGAUUUGGCUGAAGUAACUUAUACCACAGAGCUGUGGGCAUGCCUGGAAUUGAGAGACACAGUUAAAAGACUCCCAAUUGCUUCCUGCCUUUUUGAAAACUACUGAAAACCAUCCCUUCAGACUCCGGAGUUUUACACAUCUCAACCGAGACUUUGCUUGAAUGUUUACAUUUUCUGCUUGCUGUCCUACAUACCACUAUCCAGUGUUCACCUUUUGUUAAAACUUAGGCGUGUCAGGAGUUG